AGACUUUUUAUUUGAUGCUUGCAUCUUUUAAAAAGUUGAGUCGGUAACGGGUGAGUAACACGUGGGUAACCUGCCUUAAAGUGGGGGAUAACACUUGGAAACAGGUGCUAAUACCGCAUAACCAUCAAAACCACCUGGUUUUGAUGUUAAAGAUGGUUCUGCUAUCGCUUUAAGAUGGACCCGCGGCGUAUUAGCUAGUUGGUGAGGUAACGGCUUACCAAGGCAAUGAUACGUAGCCGAACUGAGAGGUUGAUCGGCCACAUUGGGACUGAGACACGGCCCAAACUCCUACGGGAGGCAGCAGUAGGGAAUCUUCCACAAUGGACGAAAGUCUGAUGGAGCAACGCCGCGUGAGUGAAGAAGGUUUUCGGAUCGUAAAACUCUGUUGUCAGAGAAGAACGUGUGUGAGAGUAACUGUUCACGCAGUGACGGUAUCUGACCAGAAAGUCACGGCUAACUACGUGCCAGCAGCCGCGGUAAUACGUAGGUGGCAAGUGUUGUCCGGAUUUAUUGGGCGUAAAGGGAACGCAGGCGGUCUUUUAAGUCUGAUGUGAAAGCCUUCGGCUUAACCGAAGUCGGGCAUUGGAAACUGGGAGACUUGAGUGCAGAAGAGGAGAGUGGAACUCCAUGUGUAGCGGUGAAAUGCGUAGAUAUAUGGAAGAACACCAGUGGCGAAAGCGGCUCUCUGGUCUGUAACUGACGCUGAGGUUCGAAAGCGUGGGUAGCAAACAGGAUUAGAUACCCUGGCAGUCCACGCCGUAAACGAUGAA
RNAcentral lists this ribosomal RNA (770 nucleotides) under uncultured bacterium. RNAcentral describes it as "bacterial SSU rRNA". It matches the Rfam family "Bacterial small subunit ribosomal RNA", at positions 64 to 813 of the family's 1533-position model. The record is from RNAcentral.